AGUCAAUAGUCUUUGGCACCGAUUUGGUGAGCUGAUUCCUUUUGCCGAUCGAAAGGUGAAAGAAAAAUG
Regulatory RNA element from Rhizobium sp. LC145, 69 nucleotides. It matches the Rfam family "S-element". Rfam says of the family: This family represents a group of S-elements from p42d and related plasmids. The S-element has multiple functions and is believed to act as a negative regulator of repC transcription, be required for efficient replication and act as a translational enhancer of repC. The record is from Rfam. NCBI's taxonomy places the organism in Bacteria, Pseudomonadati, Pseudomonadota, Alphaproteobacteria, Hyphomicrobiales, Rhizobiaceae.